GGGGAAUAUUGGACAAUGGGGGCAACCCUGAUCCAGCCAUGCCGCGUGUGUGAAGAAGGCUUUCGGGUUGUAAAGCACUUUCAGUGAGGAGGAAAACUCUGCGACUAAUACUCGUAGGGCUUGACGUUACUCACAGAAGAAGCACCGGCUAACUCCGUGCCAGCAGCCGCGGUAAUACGGAGGGUGCAAGCGUUAAUCGGAAUUACUGGGCGUAAAGCGCGCGUAGGUGGUUUGAUAAGCGAGAUGUGAAAGCCCCGGGCUUAACCUGGGAACGGCAUUUCGAACUGUCAGGCUAGAGUAUGGUAGAGGGUAGUGGAAUUUCCUGUGUAGCGGUGAAAUGCGUAGAUAUAGGAAGGAACACCAGUGGCGAAGGCGGCUACCUGGACCAAUACUGACACUGAGGUGCGAAAGCGUGGGGAGCAAACAGG
This 428-nucleotide ribosomal RNA is filed under the name uncultured bacterium. Its description in RNAcentral is "bacterial SSU rRNA". It matches the Rfam family "Bacterial small subunit ribosomal RNA", at positions 356 to 776 of the family's 1533-position model. The record is from RNAcentral.